RNAcentral lists this ribosomal RNA (491 nucleotides) under uncultured bacterium. RNAcentral's name for it is "partial 16S ribosomal RNA". It matches the Rfam family "Bacterial small subunit ribosomal RNA", at positions 29 to 506 of the family's 1533-position model. The record is from RNAcentral.
AGUGAACGCUGGCGGUAGGCCUAACACAUGCAAGUCGAACGGCAGCACAGUAAGGGCUUGCUCUUACGGGUGGCGAGUGGCGGACGGGUGAGGAAUACAUCGGAAUCUACUUUUUCGUGGGGGAUAACGUAGGGAAACUUACGCUAAUACCGCAUACGACCUACGGGUGAAAGCAGGGGAUCUUCGGACCUUGCGCGAUUGAAUGAGCCGAUGUCGGAUUAGCUAGUUGGCGGGGUAAAGGCCCACCAAGGCGACGAUCCGUAGCUGGUCUGAGAGGAUGAUCAGCCACACUGGAACUGAGACACGGUCCAGACUCCUACGGGAGGCAGCAGUGGGGAAUAUUGGACAAUGGGCGCAAGCCUGAUCCAGCCAUACCGCGUGGGUGAAGAAGGCCUUCGGGUUGUAAAGCCCUUUUGUUGGGAAAGAAAAGCAGCAGGUUAAUACCCCGCUGUUCUGACGGUACCCAAAGAAUAAGCACCGGCUAACUUCGU